Molecule: Y RNA, 106 nt
Filed under: Microcebus murinus (gray mouse lemur)
Lineage: Eukaryota; Metazoa; Chordata; Mammalia; Primates; Cheirogaleidae
Description: Y RNA (ENSMICG00000042289.1)
Rfam family: Y RNA
About the family: Y RNAs are components of the Ro ribonucleoprotein particle (Ro RNP), in association with Ro60 and La proteins. The Y RNAs and Ro60 and La proteins are well conserved, but the function of the Ro RNP is not known.
Source: Rfam by way of RNAcentral
GGCUGGUCCAAUGUUAGUGAGUUAUCUCAAUUGAUUAUUCACAGUCAUAGAUCAAACUCCUUCUACUCUAUCCCCUUUUACCAUUACUGCACUUGACUAGUCUUAA